This 637-nucleotide long non-coding RNA is filed under the name Pelobates cultripes (western spadefoot toad). The record is from RNAcentral. Lineage: Eukaryota; Metazoa; Chordata; Amphibia; Anura; Pelobatidae.
CUACAGUGUGGCAUAUUACCUUUCUGUUACACUUAAUACAUCUACUUUUUUCUCUGUUCCAGACUGCUUACCAGGAGCUUCUGCCUGCAAAGAAGGGAAAGAGGAGAGUAGACAAUUGAGUGCUGGGUGACGGGGACACCAGGCAACUGUUCCCAGAAAGUGUAGAGCAAGCGCAUCAUUAGAUAUGUUCGGCACAAGCUCAGGAUACUGAAACAGCGCUGUUUGCAUAGUCCGCCCUCUUCCUCUGAAGUAAGAUGGUUUAGGUUCGGAGCUAGAGUGCAGGGAUGCAAUUUGCACCUUUUAUGUGGCCUCACAGUGCUGGCAACCGCAAAGGAGAAUAUGUGAGAGAGACUUACAGUGCUCCCUCGCUCCUUUCUACUACUAGCCUUCUGCUAACUUUGCAGGUAACAAAAACUGAUAGAACACCAGCUGCCAGUAACCUAUGUGACCAAGCCGACUGCACAAGUCCCCAGCACCUUCUUCAUCCUACAGUCUGAGGGGGAAGAAUAAAUUAAUAUAUAAUGAUUUCAGCAAUAAGGCUGCACUGCCUGGCCCCCAGUUACAACUGCACCAGGAAACCUAUCUUUAAGUUGUUUUCCAGGCCCAGAGAUUUCUGGGAGGGGCUUGUGUUGAAUAC